RNAcentral lists this long non-coding RNA (274 nucleotides) under Capsicum annuum. Its description in RNAcentral is "long non-coding RNA (CANN_LNC001706)". The record is from RNAcentral. Lineage: Eukaryota; Viridiplantae; Streptophyta; Magnoliopsida; Solanales; Solanaceae.
AAUUGGUGGAAGAAUAAUGAAUCAUAAUAUCCGGUGCUUUCAAAAUUAGCUAGAAAUAUAUUGAAUGUUCCAAUUCAACCAUUUAUCGGAGAACGCUUUUAGUCAGGGAUGACGACAACUUAGAGACAACUGACACUCAUUGGGAAGCCAUGCUAUGAAUGUUCUAGUUAGCCUCAGAGAUUGGAUUAGAGUGGAAUGAAGAAAUCAAGGAAUGGAGGAGGAACCUAAAGAAGAACAGAAUCUUGAAGAAAUUAUGACUUCAAGAGAGAAUUCA